GGGUCAUGAACUAUGGAUUUGAAGAAAUAAAUCCUUAAUUUCUAGGUGUAAAUGAACUAAUGCAAUUAUUUUUGAUCAGUGAGUGGAAAACAAGAUGGCGUACAACUGUCCUGAUUUAUCUUGCUAUAGCUUGUACUUGAGAGAUACUAAAAGACAUUAUUGAAGAUUAUAUUAUCAAGAUUUACAUCUUAAGAAAUAACUAAAGACAAGAGACCUGAAUAUGAGGAAUUUCAGAAAACGCCCUCCUAUUAGCCAACUUUGCCUUUACUGAGACUAGUAUUUAUGGAGCACUUCAAGUUGUAAAUGCUUCUUAUAUAAAAAGCCAUGAUGAUGAUUAUCUACACUUUACUGAUGGAGAAAUUGAGGCACAGAAUCUGCCCAAGAAUACUAAAGCUGGGAGCCUCCGUCAUGUCGCUAAACACACUCCAGGCCCAGGAGCUGGAAGGAAGGAAGAGGGUCCUGGGAAAGAUGAAGCAGCUACUUUCCACCAACGAGGACUGGGCAUGGAGCUCACGUGGGCACCUCAGGGAAUAACGUGCCUGGAAGAGCCUUCUGGAAGGAUGUGAGAGUCAUGAGAACGAGACCUGGAAAGCUGAGCUGCCCCGGCCGGAUAGAGCCCAGGAAAAUGAGGACCCAGCCAGUCUGCUCCCAGACAGACAAGAGAGGCCAGUUGAGGCCGGGAGAAUCACACAGCCUUAGUCUCUGAGCUGUACCUGAUUCUAGCUGUAUGAGCAAUAAACGCUUAUUCUUUUUAGCCACUGAGUU
Molecule: long non-coding RNA, 765 nt
Organism: Lagenorhynchus albirostris (white-beaked dolphin)
Lineage: Eukaryota; Metazoa; Chordata; Mammalia; Artiodactyla; Delphinidae
Exons: 4
Source: RefSeq, a predicted model, not a curated record